Molecule: ribosomal RNA, 480 nt
Filed under: uncultured bacterium
Lineage: Bacteria
Description: partial 16S ribosomal RNA
Rfam family: Bacterial small subunit ribosomal RNA
Source: RNAcentral
GAUGAACGCUAGCGGCAGGCCUAACACAUGCAAGUCGAGGGAGAGGUUACCUUCGGGUAACCAAAACCGGCGCACGGGUGCGUAACGCGUAUACAAUCUGCCUUUCACAUAGGGAUAGCCCGAAGAAAUUUGGAUUAAUACCUAAUGGUAUAUAAGAGCGGCAUCGUUUUUAUAUUAAAGCUACGGUGGUGAAAGAUGAGUAUGCGUUCUAUUAGCUAGUUGGAGAGGUAACGGCUCCCCAAGGCGACGAUAGAUAGGGGUUCUGAGAGGGAUGUCCCCCACACUGGUACUGAGAUACGGACCAGACUCCUACGGGAGGCAGCAGUGAGGAAUAUUGGACAAUGGUCGGAAGACUGAUCCAGCCAUGCCGCGUGCAGGAUGAAGGUCCUAUGGAUUGUAAACUGCUUUUGGAAGGGAAGAAUAAGGAGUACGUGUACUUUGAUGACGGUACCUUACGAAUAAGCAUCGGCUAACUCCGUG